Molecule: ribosomal RNA, 308 nt
Filed under: uncultured bacterium
Lineage: Bacteria
Description: bacterial SSU rRNA
Rfam family: Bacterial small subunit ribosomal RNA
Source: RNAcentral
AUUGAACGCUGGCGGCAGGCCUAACACAUGCAAGUCGGACGGUAGCACAGAGAGCUUGCUCUCGGGUGACGAGUGGCGGACGGGUGAGUAAUGUCUGGGGAUCUGCCCGAUAGAGGGGGAUAACCACUGGAAACGGUGGCUAAUACCGCAUAACGUCGCAAGACCAAAGAGGGGGACCUUCGGGCCUCUCACUAUCGGAUGAACCCAGAUGGGAUUAGCUAGUAGGCGGGGUAAUGGCCCACCUAGGCGACGAUCCCUAGCUGGUCUGAGAGGAUGACCAGCCACACUGGAACUGAGACACGGUCCAG